GAGCUGCAUCGGGAAUAAACACCUUAUUGGUCUGUAAAGACGUUUUCAUUAACAGAAGUGAAGCACAAUGACAGAGCUGAGCUGCUUCCAAGACGGGUGGAAGAAAACAAAACAAGCGGCGAUUACAGAUUUGUGAUUUCAGCCGUCGCGUGAAAGAUUCUAGGAGCGAAUCUUUACAGAGCACAAAUAUAUGUAACGUGAGGGCUUGCUGUGUGGCUUGGAAUCUCUCCGAAUGACCAGAAACAGCAAGAUGGAGACGGACAACCCUCCCAGCAGCCUGUCCACUCCUAGCACACAGCAACAGCAACCGAACACUUCCUGUGCACAGAGCUCACGAACACCCCACUGGCCACCCAGGAGCCAGGAAACCCCACACUCGGACCAAUGCAGGGAAAACAACUAGCUGCUCCCUUUAUGUGUCACCACGGCGAAUGAUCUCCUCCUAUCCCAGCAUCCUCCUCUGUCACACCAGCCCUCUGCAUGUCCUCCUUCAUCCAUGACCCUCCUCUGAGAUCUUGCUCCUUUCCUCCAGCCUGGCAGCUCCAUCUUUAACAGCCUUUGUCCCCCUGCACAUGUC
This is a long non-coding RNA of Oreochromis aureus, 577 nucleotides long. RefSeq lists it as uncharacterized. NCBI's taxonomy places the organism in Eukaryota, Metazoa, Chordata, Actinopteri, Cichliformes, Cichlidae. The transcript has 4 exons. The record is from RefSeq and is a predicted model, not a curated record.